Molecule: long non-coding RNA, 864 nt
Filed under: Ananas comosus (pineapple)
Lineage: Eukaryota; Viridiplantae; Streptophyta; Magnoliopsida; Poales; Bromeliaceae
Description: long non-coding RNA (ACOM_LNC012602)
Source: RNAcentral
AAAAUUUUACAGAUUUUGAGAUUUGGUAAAAUCGGAUCGCUUUUUUUAAUUUUACAGAUUCAGAUCGAAUUUUCAGAACUAUAUUAUAAUUUUUUGUGAAAUUUUUAUUUUCAAUCGUUAAUUUUGAACCCUUUCAAUCACUAGAUAAAUAAUAUCGAAAAAUCAUAAAAUUUAUUUUCUAAAUAUUUCAUAUAUACUAGAUUAAGUUUAUCGGAGCUGAUUAUCGAUUUGAAAGCUCCAUUAUCGAAAACGGCUCAGGAGCACGAAGACCUCCGUACUCCUAAUAACACACAAGACCUACUAUAUAUAUAUAUAUAUAUAUAUAUAUAUNGGAAUUCACUGUCCCAUCAUAAUUUUUUUUAAAAAAUAUUUUUAUUAUAUUUCUCUUUUAAAAAAAUAUAUGAUUGGUAUAAUAUUAGAUGAUUUAAUGUGACUAUUAUAUUGUAGACUUCCUUCUUAUACGGGCAUAGUUUACUAUGCAGGUAUUAAUCCUCUAACUGCAGUUCCAAAAACUACUGUAUUUUAUAAAUUAUAGGGAAAACUUCAAAAACCCCCCUGUGGUUUCGUGCUUUCUCACUUUAGUACCCUGUAAUUUAAAACGUAUCAAUUUGCCCCCCGGUGGUUUCGUUUUUCUCUUUUUGUUAUCAAUUUUAUUAUUAUUUUUUUCUUAAAUCAGUGACAAAGUUAAAAAUUAAAGGAUACUAAAGUGAAUAUUCGAUAAAUAUAGAUGGUUAUCUGAAAUUUUUUGUAUAUAAUUUAAUAAAAUAUUAACGAAAAAGCUUCUGAAAAGAUAAAAAUAAAACCACAGGGGGGCAAAUUGAUACGUUUUAAACCACAGGGUACUAAAGUGAGAAUGCACGAAAC